This 106-nucleotide ribosomal RNA is filed under the name Bacillus timonensis. The record is from RNAcentral. Lineage: Bacteria; Bacillati; Bacillota; Bacilli; Caryophanales; Bacillaceae.
AUAGCGAAGAGGUCACACCCGUUCCCAUACCGAACACGGAAGUUAAGCUCUUCAGCGCCGAUGGUAGUUGGGACUUUGUCCCUGUGAGAGUAGGACGUCGCUAGGC